CCUACGGGAGGCAGCAGUGGGGAAUAUUGCACAAUGGGCGAAAGCCUGAUGCAGCGACGCCGCGUGAGGGAUGACGGCCUUCGGGUUGUAAACCUCUUUCAGCAGGGAAGAAGCGAGAGUGACGGUACCUGCAGAAGAAGCGCCGGCUAACUACGUGCCAGCAGCCGCGGUAAUACGUAGGGCGCAAGCGUUGUCCGGAAUUAUUGGGCGUAAAGAGCUCGUAGGCGGCUUGUUGCGUCGGUUGUGAAAGCCCGGGGCUUAACCCCGGGUCUGCAGUCGAUACGGGCAGGCUAGAGUGUGGUAGGGGAGAUCGGAAUUCCUGGUGUAGCGGUGAAAUGCGCAGAUAUCAGGAGGAACACCGGUGGCGAAGGCGGAUCUCUGGGCCAUUACUGACGCUGAGGAGCGAAAGCGUGGGGAGCGAACAGGAUUAGAUACCCUGGUAGUCCACGCCGUAAACGUUGGGAACUAGGUGUUGGCGACAUUCCACGUCGUCGGUGCCGCAGCUAACGCAUUAAGUUCCCCGCCUGGGGAGUACGGCCGCAAGGCUAAAACUUAAAUGAAUUGACGGCUGAGACGNGCGACGACGACGACGAGGAGAGG
RNAcentral lists this ribosomal RNA (600 nucleotides) under uncultured bacterium. RNAcentral describes it as "bacterial SSU rRNA". It matches the Rfam family "Bacterial small subunit ribosomal RNA", at positions 338 to 961 of the family's 1533-position model. The record is from RNAcentral.